This 244-nucleotide ribosomal RNA is filed under the name uncultured bacterium. RNAcentral describes it as "partial 16S ribosomal RNA". It matches the Rfam family "Bacterial small subunit ribosomal RNA", at positions 524 to 764 of the family's 1533-position model. The record is from RNAcentral.
UACAGAGGGUGCGAGCGUUAAUCGGAAUUGACUGGGCGUAAAGCGUGCGCAGACGGUCAUGUAAGUCGGGUGUGAAAGCCCCGGGCUCAACCUGGGAAUUGCAUUCGAGACUGCAUGGCUAGGGUGCGGAAGAGGGAAGCGGAAUUUCCGGUGUAGCGGUGAAAUGCGUAGAUAUCGGAAGGAACACCGAGUGGCGAAAGCGGACUUCCUGGUCCAGCACCGACGUUCAGGCACGAAAGCGUGG